AGUUGCUAAGCGCUUCAUUCAUAGUUGCUAAGGCUGGCUUUGAACUCGAAAUCCUUCUGCCUCAGCCUCCCAAACCACUGGGAUUACAGGUGAGCACCACUACGCCCACUAACCCUGAAUGUUUUUGGAACUCUGACUCCAGCUUUUCUGAGUCACUCCACCUUUAUCCAAGUCACCAAAAGUCCCUCUCAAAGACCUGAAGCCUCUUUCCUUGGGUUGUCCCAACUGAAAUGUUGAACUUUCCAUGGAAUAAAACAUCUAAAAACCUUAAGUACAAACUGGUGACUGUUUUGUACUCCUUCUCCCACCCCAGGGUGGUCAGGCAAGUGCUGCUUCAGUAAUCAAUGGGAAGAAAUGCAAAGUGUCUGAAUUUCUGGAUUCUUCUCAGACCUCCCCUCAAAAGCACAUAUGACCCAUCACUCAAUUUCUGACCAUGAUGUCACCCUGAGAUGCUGGGCUCUGACCUUCUACCCUAAGGAAAUCACCCUCACCUGGCUGAAUAGGGAGAAGCAGACCAAGGACAUAAAGAUUGCAGAGACUGGCCUGCAGGGGGAUAGAAGUGGGUAGCUGUGGUGAUGCCUUCUAGAGAGGAGCAGAGAUACACCUGCCAUGUGCAGCAUGAGGGACUGCCCUAACCCCCACCCUGAGAUGGAAUUAGGAAGGGAAGAGAAUCUGUUGUCAGUGAAAGCAGGAUCCAUUCAGGGUCCUUCACCUUCCUUCCCUUCCAUUCUCUUCCCAAAGCCACCCCCUCAGUCCACCAUCUCUCUAUCAUGGGAAUUUUGUUGGCCUGGUUCACCUAGGACCUGUGGUCACUGGAGCUGUGAUCCCUGUUUUGAUGUGGAGGAAGUUAACAGGUCAGGAUGGGGUACAAGUAGUUGUCUAAAUUUUUUUGUCCCACUGGGGGAUUCUAAUCCCCAGAUGGAAGUUUACCCUGCCUCAUUAAUGGGAAGAACCAUCCACACACACAUGCUUACCAGGCUUGGCGUUCUGUUUGCAGAACACUCUGUAAAUUACAUGUGAAAAAUCAAGGACCAAUUUAUUACCGUGGUGACUGUGGCCAAGGGAACCUGAUGCCCAGCAGUUGCAGAUCAGAGGUGAAGGGCCUAUAAGACAGACUUCCAAGAGUGCAGUUGGUCCUCCUUUUUUCGUGUUUCUUGAUCUUACCCUGCAUCUGCAGACACAGUUCUACAAACUUCCCUGGGCCCAGAAUUAGAGGGUUCCUCUGUGGCCUCAUGGCCCUGCCUCUUCCUGGCCUGUCCCAGGAUGUCUUCUCACAGGUGGAAGGAAAGGAAGCUACACACAACUGCCUUUAAUUAUGCAGGUGAGUGAUCCCUGAGACCCUGUGACAGUAUAGACAGGAAUCCAUGGAGGAGCUUGCCCACCCAAUAAUUCCUCCUUGAGUCAUGUGUCCUGUGGGCUGUGUGUCAGUCAUGUGUCACUGUCUCUGGAAGGGACAAUGCUUAGGACUCUGAUAUAUCUCUUAAGGUUUCUAAUAGUGAAACACCAGAGGGCCUGAAAUUGAAGAGAGGGUAGGCCAGAGGGAACAGUACUAUGUAUGGAACUCUGGAUUUGAACAUAUUAUGUAUGGUGGGCAUUUCAGAAUGUCAUCAAGUACAGUGACUGAUCUGAAUUUUUCAUUAUUUUCUUAUACAGUAUGAGACAGCUGCCUUGUGUGGGACUCAGGGAUCCAAGAUUGGUUCAACACAUAUAUACCAAUGUGACUUCAAGAGCUCCUGACUUCUUCUUCUGCAACUGGAAUGUGCAUAUGUCUAUGGGGUCUUUGUUCUUAUCAGCAAAAUGUGAGAAAAUAAGAAGACCCAAACCCCUUCCCCACACUGACUUGUGUAGUCUUUCCUGACCAACUUUUCUAUUUCAGCAGACAGAAGGCAAGAUGUCCCAUCCUGUCUUAAUGUUUUGUAGCACUGAACUGCAAUUUCUUACCUCCCUACUGAAAAUAAGAAUCUGGACAUAAAAUUUGUCUUCAAAAACUUGGGGAAGGGAAUAAAACCUGAAAACCUUCCAGAAUCCACAUUUAUUGUACUAAGUCUAUUGCAGAUAGAUUAAAAAAAAAAAGCUGUGAGGAGCCCAGUAUGGAUGGAUGGAUGGGGCUGGUGCCCAGUUGGUGCUCAGCCCACUGUGGGUUUGGGUGUAUUCACUUUUCAGCUGAGUCAUCUUCACUUCUCAGUUGCCCUUGUCCAUUCAAUAGAACUUGGUCACACAAGGAUCUGAUCACAGGUACAGCCCAGGUAUUGUCCUAUAUCUAAGAUAACAGGUAGUGAGGGUUUUGUGUGGCCAGGUCAACUUAGGCUCAGAUCUGAGUCUCUCAGCCUCAA
RNAcentral lists this long non-coding RNA (2333 nucleotides) under Marmota monax (woodchuck). Lineage: Eukaryota; Metazoa; Chordata; Mammalia; Rodentia; Sciuridae. The record is from RNAcentral.